UGGGGAAUAUUGGACAAUGGGCGAAAGCCUGAUCCAGCCAUGCCGCGUGUGUGAAGAAGGUCUUCGGAUUGUAAAGCACUUUAAGUUGGGAGGAAGGGCAGUAAGCGAAUACCUUGCUGUUUUGACGUUACCGACAGAAUAAGCACCGGCUAACUCUGUGCCAGCAGCCGCGGUAAUACAGAGGGUGCAAGCGUUAAUCGGAAUUACUGGGCGUAAAGCGCGCGUAGGUGGUUCGUUAAGUUGAAUGUGAAAGCCCCGGGCUCAACCAGGGAACUGCAUCCAAAACUGGCGAGCUAGAGUAGGGCAGAGGGUGGUGGAAUUUCCUGUGUGGCGGUGAAAUGCGUAGAUAUAGGAAGGAACACCAGUGGCGAAGGCGACCACCUGGGCUCAUACUGACACUGAGGUGCGAAAGCGUGGGGAGCAAACAGG
RNAcentral lists this ribosomal RNA (429 nucleotides) under Pseudomonadota bacterium. RNAcentral's name for it is "Proteobacteria bacterium partial 16S ribosomal RNA". It matches the Rfam family "Bacterial small subunit ribosomal RNA", at positions 355 to 776 of the family's 1533-position model. The record is from RNAcentral. Lineage: Bacteria; Pseudomonadati; Pseudomonadota.